Non-coding RNA from Pelodiscus sinensis (Chinese soft-shelled turtle), 1009 nucleotides. The record is from RefSeq and is a predicted model, not a curated record. Lineage: Eukaryota; Metazoa; Chordata; Testudines; Trionychidae.
CUGGUAUUGGGAAGGAUCAUCUUUAGGAGGAAAAAGAUGAUUGUGCAGUGUCUUUGCAGAUAUGUAUUUGAUGUGGAGGAAAAGAAAGUGCCUGUGAAGGGAAGCAAAAAGGGGAGUGUCAUGAGUGGUGCAACAGAUUUCCCUCUUUGGUUGAAGACUUGCCUGGAUGUUCUGGAGCUCACCCACCCUCGACCCUGAAAAAACAAAAGCUGUGCAAUGUGGACCAGACAUCACUGACUCAAGCCCAACUGCACUGCCUACAUAUCUCCACUGGUUGGAAGAUUUGUUCAGAAAGAGGGAGUCAGGUUAAGAAUUGUUGGUGCACUUUUAGCCACAUAAAAAAUUCCCACCUGUUGGAAAUUAGCACCUGCUGCAUCAUUCUCUAUCCCACAACUGUGAGCAGCAGAAAUGCUGAUGCUGAUUUACCCCCAAAUGACGAUGCAAAAGGGGCUGACGAUCAGCAGUUCCAUGGAGAAAAGCCACAUCAGAAGAAGGGCCUGUCAUGAGGCUGCCUUUGAUAGACAGGCAGCAGGGUUUUGUUCCCAGUACACUGAAUUCCACUAGCAACAAAUUCAGCUCUAGAGACACUUUAGUUACAUUCUAGAUGCUUUAAAGAAUGACAAGUAUUUUCAGUCAAAGUAAGCUUCUAGUUUGCAUAUCCUAAAGGUUUCUAGCACUUCAACAGCUGGUCUGCAUCCAUCUCCCUUGGGAUAUUUAGGAGAAUGUUCUGAGCUCUGACUGUAAAGUAGAAAAGACCACCCAGCUUUUCUGACUGCAGAAUGAUUUUUCAGCUUUCUCUCCUAUUUCCUCAUAUUUUUACCUGUGCGGCACCAGAGUUUCUCUCUUCUACAGCCCCUACAUCUAUCUCAGAGGAUCCAGGACCCUUCAAAUACCCUAAAAGAUGUGUGGAGAGUUGGACAUCUCUCCACCUAAGUUACUUUACCUAAGUAGUCCUGAAGUUUCUGCAUGUUUGGGUGUCAUUUUCCUACAUCUGAAUACAAAGCAAAAC